UGGUAAAUCUUCUGGGGAUGCUGCGUGGCACAAGGGAAGCCAUGCAUCUCUGAGAAGCCGAGGAGUGCCAUUAUCCUAAAUCAUUUGUCUGAGAUCAGAGGAGGUGAGUGGCAGACCAGGGCUUGAAGCCAUGCCAGCGCUCUAAUCUCUGCCAUGUCCCUGCCUUCUGUUUAAUGUCUUUGUGAGUCGUUAGAAAAGCCUUCAGAGCACUGCCUUGCUGGGGAGGAUCUUUUUGUUGUCUAAUGUGCAAAUAUUCAGCACCAAGACACCUGCUUCUGCUCAGUGCCACAAAACCUAAAGUGUUCUGCUUGUAAAUGUGUGGAGAUGGAAAGCAGUGAAGUCAACUGACUGUAAACACCUGUUCAAUGGUGUGGUUGUGUUGUGGUGUCGUGGAAAAUAUUGAGAAGUUUCCCUCAACAAGUUGUCCAGCUACUACCUGUCCUUUUUGUACUGGUGGUGAAUUUACUAAUUCAGUCUAUGAAGGUUUAGGUCUGUACUUUUCCAUAACACUAAAUUCACAUGAACUGUUGCAAUGAGUUUGGAGGUGUGGGGGGAGAAAGAAGGAACAAAAAGGAACACUUCAGCUUCAGUCUUAUUCUUACAAGGGACUUAACAGCUGCUAGGAAGCUUUCUCAUGAUUUUCAAGUAGAUGAUUACUAUCUACCUUGCAGUAAACAUCUGACUUUAUCUAGGCAAUUGUGAAAUAACUUGACCAGCAUGAUGUACAGGCACCUAGAGACCUGACCUCUACAAAUGCAAUCUUUAAAGUUAAAUGUCAUCCUUUCCCCCAGCUUCUAUUCCAGCACUGUCAGCCUACCCUCUGCUUGGUCAUUUCCCUGCCUAGUCUUCAUUGAAAUAGUUCUUCGGCAAUGAGAGCCGCUUUGCUGAUUUAUGCUAAAUGAAGUUCUCUCUUUUAAACUCUGAAGUUUAUAAGAAAAAUCUUGUGAGCUUACCUUCUAUAUUAUCAUGGAUGAUGCCAUUCACCAGGUGGCACCAAUUGUGACAGUGAAUACUCAAGGGCUUGGCUGGGGCUGGGAAGCAGAAAGCCUCUUGCCUCCAGCCUUUUGUGAGCAGCCUGCCCAUCAGCAGGGAAGGGUAGAGUGGCUUCAAACAUCUUCCCUAUUUUUCCAGUGUCUUAUCUAAGCAGACUCAGGCUACUCAAAAUUUUAUAACCUUUCAAAAUCUUCUCUGUUGACGUAUGCUUAUAAGCCAGCCAUAAAGCAAGAGUUUCCCUUGUUUAACAGCCAGCAAACCAAGGUGUGAAACUAAGGACAUACAGUAGCAAGAGAGAUAAGAAGUGUGCCUCUUCUGCUGCAUUUAUCUUUAAUAAGAGGAUGCCUAAGAGCUUCGGCUUUCUGUUAUCUUUUGCUAAGAUUUACCAGGAGCAAGUAGUACUAAGCCUUUAACACUGUUGCUUUACAUACUAAAAAAAAAAAAGCUAAUUUUUGUUUCCAUUUUCACUCAGC
Molecule: long non-coding RNA, 1466 nt
Organism: Numida meleagris (helmeted guineafowl)
Lineage: Eukaryota; Metazoa; Chordata; Aves; Galliformes; Numididae
Exons: 3
Source: RefSeq, a predicted model, not a curated record